RNAcentral lists this long non-coding RNA (413 nucleotides) under Triticum aestivum (bread wheat). RNAcentral's name for it is "long non-coding RNA (TAES_LNC016559)". The record is from RNAcentral. Lineage: Eukaryota; Viridiplantae; Streptophyta; Magnoliopsida; Poales; Poaceae.
GGCGGUUUCCGAUUGCACAGCAAAUCGGGCGUAAUGAGAUUACAACUAGGCUGGGACCUGAUACCGCGUUAUCUCAUUACGGCCGGGUUGAUCCAAACAAGAUUCAACGUUAUCCCUUACCAGCGUAAACAGAUGACGUUACAAAUCGGCGAACCAAACACCUCCUAAGUACCAGUGACAAAAACGCUAAAAUGCUAAGUUAAGUUUCCAGCCUCAGCCACCGAUCUAGAGUUCUCACAUGUUCAGUUCUAAUGAUUGGGUACAAUUAUCAGCGAGCCAUGUCGGAUGAGAGUUACUCCCUCCGUUCUAAAAUAAAGUUGAGUCAUCUAUUUUGGAACGGAGGGAGUACGUAUCACGUGAUUCAGUCUUCAGGAGUUGGGGGGAUGUCCUCCAUGGCCCCUUUACCAUCAGCG